RNAcentral lists this long non-coding RNA (296 nucleotides) under Glycine max (soybean). RNAcentral's name for it is "long non-coding RNA (GMAX_LNC004536)". Lineage: Eukaryota; Viridiplantae; Streptophyta; Magnoliopsida; Fabales; Fabaceae. The record is from RNAcentral.
UUAGGGUCUGUUCAUGGAGGGAACGCCGAUGGCACCAGCGACGCGAACGGGCUCGCGUACGCCGGAGCCGGGUAGCCGCUGCUGCUUCCGCCGCCGUGGGAGUGGGACUCGUUCUUCGGGGGUUUGUUGUAGGGGGCAGACGGUUGGGCGAAGGGGAGGCGGAGUAAGGCUGAGCGGGCGGCGGCGCGCCGUAGCUGUAGCUGGGAGGCUGGUGGAGAUAGCCGGACAUGAUGAAAUUUGAAAGGGGGUUUUGAGUUCUGAAAGGUUACAGAUUUGAUUGCUGCUAAUUGCUGAAG